AGAAACAGUAUCCACAGUGGACUCCGGGGCUCCUACAGACUUGGCACAGCUUCCUACAGUCUUGAAACAGCCCUGUUGUUCUGUCAUGGCCAGUGGGCAGUUUGUGAACAAACUGCAAGAGGAAGUGAUCUGCCCCAUCUGCCUGGACAUUCUGCAGAAACCUGUCACCAUCGACUGUGGGCACAAUUUCUGCCUCAAAUGCAUCACUCAGAUUGGGGAAACAUCAUGUGGAUUUUUCAAAUGUCCCCUCUGCAAAACUUCCGUAAGGAAGAACGCAAUCAGGUUCAACUCGCUGUUGCGGAAUCUGGUGGAGAAAAUCCAAGCUCUACAAGCCUCUGAGGUGCAGUCCAAAAGGAAAGAGGCUACAUGCCCGAGGCACCAGGAGAUGUUCCACUAUUUCUGCGAGGAUGAUGGGAAGUUCCUCUGUUUUGUGUGUCGUGAAUCCAAGGACCACAAAUCCCAUAAUGUCAGCUUGAUCGAAGAAGCUGCCCAGAAUUAUCAGGGGCAGAUUCAAGAGCAGAUCCAAGUCUUGCAGCAAAAGGAGAAGGAGACAGUACAAGUGAAGGCACAAGGUGUACACAGGGUCGAUGUCUUCACGGACCAGGUAGAACAUGAGAAGCAAAGGAUCCUCACAGAAUUUGAACUCCUGCAUCAAGUCCUAGAGGAGGAGAAGAAUUUCCUGCUAUCACGGAUUUACUGGCUGGGUCAUGAGGGAACGGAAGCGGGGAAACACUAUGUUGCCUCCACUGAGCCACAGUUGAACGAUCUCAAGAAGCUCGUUGAUUCCCUGAAGACCAAGCAGAACAUGCCACCCAGGCAGCUGCUGGAGAACUGGAGAAAAAACUCAGUGAAGCAAAAUCAAGACACGACUCCAUCACAGGGAGCCUGAAAAAAUUCAAAGACCAACUCCAGGCUGAUAGGAAAAAAGAUGAAAACAGAUUCUUCAAAAGCAUGAAUAAAAAUGACAUGAAGAGCUGGGGCUUGUUACAGAAAAAUAAUCAUAAAAUGAACAAAACCUCAGAGCCCGGGUCAUCUUCUGCAGGCGGCAGAACUACAUCGGGGCCACCAAAUCACCACUCUUCAGCCCCAUCCCACUCCCUGUUUCGGGCCUCGUCUGCUGGGAAAGUCACUUUUCCAGUAUGUCUCCUGGCCUCUUAUGAUGAGAUUUCUGGUCAAGGAGCGAGCUCUCAGGAUACGAAGACAUUUGACGUUGCGCUGUCCGAGGAGCUCCAUGCGGCACUGAGUGAGUGGCUGACAGCGAUCCGGGCUUGGUUUUGUAAGGUUCCUUCAAGCUAAGCCAGCUCAGAGAACACGGGGAGCGGUGGUGCUCCACGGACUUCGGAGCAUAGAGUGGCGCUGAGUGAGUGGCUGAGACCGACCACGGUUCUUGACUUAGUGGAAUUGGGUCGAAGGAGUGGAGAAUGGGAGGGCUCGGGCUACUGAGAGUGGAGAUGGGGGCGGGGGUGGUGGUGAAGAGAGUUGGAGAAGGAAUGGACGAGUUCUUGAGCAAAAGGAGGGGAAGAGACAAUCUCCAGCCACCCGCCCCACGCUUGACUUCUUAUCACUUUGGCUGUGGUGCCGCCUAGUGGAAAAAGGAAGUCCCUGCAGCAGUCCCCGCACUCUUUAAGCAGCUGUUUACCGAAGGCACCAGUUCAGCCAGGAGUGAAAUCCAGAGACGAGCAACGCCAGCCUGGGUCACAGUCCAUCAAACCCCAUGAGCCCGACCACUCUCGCUCUUCCUUACAUUCCCACGUCCCCCUUCUCUCCCAACCCCUCAUAUCAGCAAGGGAAAUUAAUUAAUGAGAUUUGAUAAAUCAGUAGAUAGAAUGAGGUCCCCAUUCUGAAAUAUUUAGCAGACUGGAACCACCACGCAAGCCUCUGUAGGGGGUGGAUGGAGACACUUCUAACUUUAAUAAACUGCGACUGAACGUGGAA
This 1935-nucleotide unclassified non-coding RNA is filed under the name Homo sapiens (human). Its description in RNAcentral is "tripartite motif containing 31 (ENSG00000233573.9)". Lineage: Eukaryota; Metazoa; Chordata; Mammalia; Primates; Hominidae. The record is from RNAcentral.